UACGUAGGGUCCGAGCGUUGUCCGGAAUUAUUGGGCGUAAAGGGCUCGUAGGCGGUUUGUCGCGUCGGGAGUGAAAACUCGGGGCUUAACUCCGAGCCUGCUUCCGAUACGGGCAGACUAGAGGUAUGCAGGGGAGAACGGAAUUCCUGGUAUAGCGGUGAAAUGCGCAGAUAUCAGGAGGAACACCGGUGGCGAAGGCGGUUCUCUGGGCAUUACCUGACGCUGAGGAGCGAAAGUGUGGGGAGCGAACAGG
Molecule: ribosomal RNA, 253 nt
Filed under: uncultured bacterium
Lineage: Bacteria
Description: partial 16S ribosomal RNA
Rfam family: Bacterial small subunit ribosomal RNA
Source: RNAcentral